GAUGAACGCUGGCGGCGUGCUUAACACAUGCAAGUCGAACGAAGCACUUGAAACAGAUUCUUCGGAUGAAGUUUCCUGUGACUGAGUGGCGGACGGGUGAGUAACGCGUGGGUAACCUGCCUCAUACAGGGGGAUAACAGUUAGAAAUGGCUGCUAAUACCGCAUAAGCGCACGGUACUGCAUGGUACAGUGUGAAAAACUCCGGUGGUAUGAGAUGGACCCGCGUUGGAUUAGCUAGUUGGCAGGGUAACGGCCUACCAAGGCGACGAUCCAUAGCCGGCCUGAGAGGGUGGACGGCCACAUUGGGACUGAGACACGGCCCAGACUCCUACGGGAGGCAGCAGUGGGGAAUAUUGCACAAUGGGGGAAACCCUGAUGCAGCGACGCCGCGUGAGCGAAGAAGUAUUUCGGUAUGUAAAGCUCUAUCAGCAGGGAAGAAAAUGACGGUACCUGACUAAGAAGCCCCGGCUAACUACGUGCCAGCCGCCGCGGUAA
Molecule: ribosomal RNA, 495 nt
Filed under: uncultured bacterium
Lineage: Bacteria
Description: partial 16S ribosomal RNA
Rfam family: Bacterial small subunit ribosomal RNA
Source: RNAcentral